CUUAGUGGCGGACGGGUGAGUAACGCGUGGGUAACCUGCCUUACACAGGGGGAUAACACCUGGAAACAGGUGCUAAUACCGCAUAAGCGCACAGGGCCGCAUGGCCCGGUGUGAAAAACUCCGGUGGUGUAAGAUGGACCCGCGUCUGAUUAGCUUGUUGGCGGGGUAGAGGCCCACCAAGGCGACGAUCAGUAGCCGGCCUGAGAGGGUGGACGGCCACAUUGGGACUGAGACACGGCCCAAACUCCUACGGGAGGCAGCAG
RNAcentral lists this ribosomal RNA (263 nucleotides) under uncultured bacterium. RNAcentral describes it as "partial 16S ribosomal RNA". It matches the Rfam family "Bacterial small subunit ribosomal RNA", at positions 91 to 354 of the family's 1533-position model. The record is from RNAcentral.